UUCCCUGCGUAGUGCGUAUAGACUUAAAUUUUUAGAACCUACAAGUUUUGGAGAAGGGAGCUCAUCUCUGAAUAUGGCGUGUAUGCUUACAUUUAUGUAAGAAACCCAGGAGUAUUUAGGUAGGCACCCACCUGUGUGAGUACAGGUCCAUAAAAAUUUUUAGACUUACGGCUUAGACGUGGGGC
This 185-nucleotide non-coding RNA is filed under the name bovine gut metagenome. RNAcentral describes it as "6S / SsrS RNA". It matches the Rfam family "6S / SsrS RNA". Rfam says of the family: E. coli 6S RNA was the first non coding RNA to be sequenced, but its function was unknown until recently. It consists of 184 nucleotides that fold into an extended hairpin structure with a large single-stranded internal bulge. The record is from RNAcentral.